UUGGAGGGCAAGUCUGGUGCCAGCAGCCGCGGUAAUUCCAGCUCCAAUAGCGUAUAUUAAAGUUGUUGCAGUUAAAAAGCUCGUAGUUGAAUUUCGGGAUCAGAUUAUCGGUCGUGCCUCGGUACGCACUGGUAUUAUUGGUUCCUACCUUCUGAAGAACCGCGAUGUCAUUAAUUUGGUGUCGUGGGGAAUCAGGACUGUUACUUUGAAAAAAUUAGAGUGUUUAAAGCAGGCUUACGCUUGAAUACAUUAGCAUGGAAUAAUGAAAUAGGACGUUUGAUUCUAUUUUGUUGGUUUCUAGGAUUGACGUAAUGAUUAAUAGGGAUAGUUGGGGGCAUUAGUAUUCAAUUGUCAGAGGUGAAAUUCUUGGAUUUAUUGAAGACUAACUACUGCGAAAGCAUUUGCCAAGGAUGUUUUCAUUAAUCAAGAACGAAAGUUAGGGGAUCGAAGACGAUCAGAUACCGUCGUAGUCUUAACCAUGAACUAUGCCGACUAGGGAUCGGAUGAUGUUAAUUUUUUAAUGACUCAUUCGGCGCCUUACGGGAAACCAAAGUGUUUGGGUUC
RNAcentral lists this ribosomal RNA (564 nucleotides) under uncultured Glomeromycotina. Its description in RNAcentral is "SSU rRNA". It matches the Rfam family "Eukaryotic small subunit ribosomal RNA", at positions 548 to 1114 of the family's 1831-position model. Lineage: Eukaryota; Fungi; Glomeromycota. The record is from RNAcentral.